CCAAAAAAUGUUUACAUAAUUGGGAAUGGCCCAUAGUUCUACAUAAAUUGAUAAUGAUGAUUAUUAUUUGUAGAUUAGGUAUGAAUAUCGAUAUUGGUUAAUUUAUCUUAUCUUUGUUAUUGAGGAUAGGUAGGUAUAAUACGUAGAUUAGUCUUCAUUGCAUGGUCAAAUUGGAACUGACAGGAAACGAAAAAUGGGUGCCAAUAAUAGUUGUUGUUUCCCGUGCUGUUGUUGCUGUUGCAACGACGACAAUAACGGAGGUGGCGGCGGCGUGAUCGUCGUCGACAACCCACCAGACCAAGUGACCGUUGUCGACCAGCCAGGAUAUGACUCUAUGGCCAGAUAACCAUGGUGGUGAUCGUUUUUUGCAUCUUCACACAUGGACCAGAUGUAAAACUACUACCUAGAUACUUAGAUAAUUUACUCAGAUUUCUUGAACGCAUUUCAUUUGAACUGAUGAUCAUUUCAGCCAGCACCGCGUCAACAAGAGUUCAUUUCCAGAAACGCCAAUCGUCGUAAAAUUUUGUUUAAAUUCAUGCAGAAAACAGAGUUUUCACCUUGCCUUAUGUAAUUUCAAAUGAGGGCCUCAUUCAUUGUCUUCACGCCUACUUGAAAAUGAUCGUUAAUUAUUCACUUACUUAUAUUAUUAAAAUGUUCAAUUUUAUAAUUUCAAUUAAAACAGCUUAAAGCGGAAUAAUAAUACAUAAUAUUAUUCGCUGUUAUUUAAGUGGUACUUACGCUGUUUCAUCAAUCAUAAUUUUUUUAGAGUAUUUUAUAGGUCCAUAUAAAACAAAAUAAAACUUAUUUAAUUAUUAUCUAUGUACUAUGUAAGCAUAGGUAGAUUUUAAAGUUAGGUAUACCUAAUACCUAUUAUCUGAGCUUCAUGUUUGUAUUCUUAAGUAAUUUAAUCUAAAAUAUUUUAUUUAAAAACAAGUAAAAAUAAGUAGGUACACUACUUGGGUACCUAACUACUUAUUUAAAAAGUUUGGUAUAAGAGGAGUACUGUGUAUUUUGACGUAGGUACUUAAUAAAUAUUGAACAGUUGUUGUACUUUAUAUUUUUGUAGUUUCUAUACGUCUACAUAUUAUAAGUAGGCACAUUCGUGAUGACGGGGUAGAGGAAUAAAAAGUUUAUAUAAUAUAUCGAUUAUAAAUAAUUGAUAAAGUAA
This is a long non-coding RNA of Maniola jurtina (meadow brown), 1168 nucleotides long. RefSeq lists it as uncharacterized. The record is from RefSeq and is a predicted model, not a curated record. The transcript is spliced from 2 exons. Lineage: Eukaryota; Metazoa; Arthropoda; Insecta; Lepidoptera; Nymphalidae.